GGGCCCGCACAAGCGGUGGAGCAUGUGGUUUAAUUCGAUGAUACGCGAGGAACCUUACCAGGGCUUAAAUGGGAGAUGACAGGGGCAGAGACGCCCUUUUCUUCGGACAUCUUUCAAGGUGCUGCAUGGUUGUCGUCAGCUCGUGCCGUGAGGUGUCAGGUUAAGUCCUAUAACGAGCGCAACCCCUACCGUUAGUUGCCAGCGAUUCAAGUCGGGGACUCUAACGGGACUGCCGGUGCAAACCGUGAGGAAGGUGGGGACGACGUCAAAUCAUCACGGCCCUUACGUCCUGGGCUACACACGUGCUACAAUGGUCGGUACAGAGGGAAGCUACCCCGUAAGGGGAUGCGGAUCUAUAAAACCGAUCUCAGUUCGGAUUGAGGUCUGCAACUCGACCUCAUG
Molecule: ribosomal RNA, 402 nt
Filed under: uncultured bacterium
Lineage: Bacteria
Description: bacterial SSU rRNA
Rfam family: Bacterial small subunit ribosomal RNA
Source: RNAcentral